AUGCUGCAGCAUGAGAAGUUGUUCACAUUUGCUGGUUUUAGCAUUGAAAGCGACAAAGAGAAGCUGAAGUUGUCCGGUAUGGAGAUCAACCCCAAAAAGUUCAUCGACAUUCAGCGCAAGUGGAGAGUUCCAUACACCGGAAAAGAGUAUGACUCCUUGACUGAUGUUGCGGCCAGCGUCAUCCACCCAUUCUACAAAGGCAUGAAGAAUAAGAUCAACACGCAGGAAGACUACAAACUGUGGGGGACCAGCGAGCUGCCAGACAACCUCAUCGAGUACGCAGGAGUAGAUGCGUACGCCGCAUACAAAUCAUGGUUCAUGAUCGACUACAUCACAGACGGUUGGGAAUAUGCGAAAGAGCGGGAGGAUGAAAACUUCUACGACCGCCCCUAUUGCCCCUUUACUGGAUGA
RNAcentral lists this ribosomal RNA (411 nucleotides) under Triticum aestivum (bread wheat). RNAcentral describes it as "partial small subunit ribosomal RNA". The record is from RNAcentral. Lineage: Eukaryota; Viridiplantae; Streptophyta; Magnoliopsida; Poales; Poaceae.